This 519-nucleotide ribosomal RNA is filed under the name uncultured bacterium. RNAcentral describes it as "partial 16S ribosomal RNA". It matches the Rfam family "Bacterial small subunit ribosomal RNA", at positions 29 to 523 of the family's 1533-position model. The record is from RNAcentral.
AACGAACGCUGGCGGCGUGCCUAAUACAUGCAAGUCGAACGAGAAAGUGUAGCAAUACAUGAGUAAAGUGGCAGACGGGUGAGUAAUACACAGGUAACCUACCUUCAAGAUGGGGAUAACCUUCCGAAAGGAGGGCUAAUACCGAAUGAGACCACAGCCACUACGGUGGAAGGGGUCAAAGGAUGGCCUCUACUUGUAAGCUAUCGCUUGAAGAUGGGCUUAUGCACCAUUAGCUUGUUGGUGAGGUAACGGCUCACCAAGGCUUUGAUGGUUAGCUGAUCUAAGAGGUUGAUCAGCCACACUGGAACUGAGACACGGUCCAGACUCCUACGGGAGGCAGCAGUGGGGAAUAUUGGACAAUGGGCGAAAGCCUGAUCCAGCCAUGCCGCGUGUGUGAAGAAGGUCUUCGGAUUGUAAAGCACUUUAAGUUGGGAGGAAGGGCAGUAGGUUAAUACCUUGCUGUUUUGACGUUACCAACAGAAUAAGCACCGGCUAACUUCGUGCCAGCCGCCGCCGUAA